UCCCUAGUGGCUCAGAGGUUAAAGCGUCUGCCUGGAAUGCGGGAGACCUGGGUUCGAUCUCUGGGUCGGGAA
RNAcentral lists this transfer RNA (72 nucleotides) under Bos indicus x Bos taurus (hybrid cattle). It matches the Rfam family "tRNA". Rfam says of the family: Transfer RNA (tRNA) molecules are approximately 80 nucleotides in length. Lineage: Eukaryota; Metazoa; Chordata; Mammalia; Artiodactyla; Bovidae. The record is from Rfam by way of RNAcentral.